AAAGGCAAAGAGGAGCUCCUUUCAAUCCAAUAAGGAGGGCUGAGGAGUGGCAAGAGCUGUCAUCUCAUGCAUUUGGCUACCCUUAAUGUUUGUGAUCAGAAAAAGAUCUUGCAUUGGGAUUAUUUUGAAAUGUUAAGUUUGGCCAUGUGCAUGGUGUGAGAGCAACUCCACCCGCCUUCUUAGCCCUACCAUUGGAUUGAAGGGAGCUCCAAAUUUCAGCUCU
Molecule: non-coding RNA, 223 nt
Organism: Glycine soja
Lineage: Eukaryota; Viridiplantae; Streptophyta; Magnoliopsida; Fabales; Fabaceae
Source: Rfam